CCUACGGGGGGCUGCAGUGGGGAAUAUUGGACAAUGGGCGCAAGCCUGAUCCAGCCAUGCCGCGUGGAUGAUGAAGGCCUUAGGGUUGUAAAGUCCUUUUAACGGGGAAGAUAAUGACGGUACCCGUAGAAUAAGCCCCGGCUAACUUCGUGCCAGCAGCCGCGGUAAUACGAAGGGGGCUAGCGUUGCUCGGAAUCACUGGGCGUAAAGCGCACGUAGGCGGCUUUCUAAGUCAGGGGUGAAAUCCUGGAGCUCAACUCCAGAACUGCCUUUGA
Molecule: ribosomal RNA, 275 nt
Filed under: uncultured bacterium
Lineage: Bacteria
Description: partial 16S ribosomal RNA
Rfam family: Bacterial small subunit ribosomal RNA
Source: RNAcentral